AGCCUCCCGUAUUCGUGCUGAGAUUUCGUCAGAGAUAAACCCAUUGGCACUGGCUGAUGGUACUUCCCAAAUAAGUGAAGCG
Non-coding RNA from Trichobilharzia regenti, 82 nucleotides. Lineage: Eukaryota; Metazoa; Platyhelminthes; Trematoda; Strigeidida; Schistosomatidae. The record is from Rfam.